UCACCUUACCAUGAAUUUGUAAUUGCAUAAGCCAUGGCAUUGCGCCUUGCCCUAUAUUCAACUUGGUCAAUCCUUGUAACUCUAAAAGUUGAAGUACUUUGAGUUGAGGAAAUCCAUUUGCAGAUACAUGCAUUUUCUUUCCAAGAUAUGACUUAGCCCUUAAUCUGAGAGUCAACAAUUUUGGCAGCUUCUCCAAUAUAGGCAUAGGAUCACAACCUAGCCUAGAUGCUUCCAAUGUCAAUUGUGUAAGAUUUGGUGAGAAUUCAACGGUUUCAGGCAAUUUUUGCAUGUGUCCCUUUAUGUCCAACUUAGAGAGAUGGAGGCAAGAGUUUAUGGCAAAAGGUGGAAUGUUGGACUCAUCUGAUGCCUUAAGGUACAAGGAUUUAAGACUAGGUAGCUUGGCAAUGGAGUUCUGAAAACACAGCCCCUUCUACCUCACACCUUUCUUCUAAUUUCAAUUUCUCAAGACAAGUUAAGUUGCUUGAAUCAUUCUUGAUCCAUUGGUUGGAGGUUAUGCCUAAUAGAAUUUGAAGAUCUUGCAAUGUAUCAAUUUGUAGUGGAACAUCUUCCUUUUGACCCUCAAUAUAAAGAUAUCUCAUGUUUUUAAUCUUCAGUAUCACAUUUGGCACUUGUCUAAGAUUAUUUAUCUCCAAAGACUACAAACUCCUUAGGUUGCCUAUAGAUGGUGGAAGCAUUUUUAAACCAUAAUGCAUUAAUCUCAAGUACCUUAAAUGAAUUAGUGUCCCAACUAUACUAGGUAGGCUUUCAAUUUCCCAACCUUCCAAAUCUAGCACCCUAAGUACUUUGAAGCAUCUGCCAAAAUGUACUUGCAAAAAUUAUUACAAAAAAUGAAAAAAUGUGUGAAUGACUUCAAUUUUUGAAGCAUGUCCAAAAACAAUUAUUUGCCAUUAUUUGAAACUACUCAUUCAUGACGAACAAAAUUUAUAUCUGUAUUGGGAAUAGUAAUUGAUUUUCAUAUGCCCUAUACUAAAAUUUAUAAGCAAUAUCGCCAGAAAAUUAUUUAAAUUGGCACCACCAUGGUUAUUUAGAUCCCAAACCUACCAAUUUUUUUUAAAUGUAUAUAUAUAUAUAUUAUUCAAAAUUAUUAUUUAAAAAAUAAAUAUAAAAAUAGUCUUUUUAUCAUUUUUUUUUUUUUUGCAUCAAAUUUGUUUCUUUAAAACAAAUUUACUUUUUAUAUUGAUCUUGUAUUUUGAAAAAAUGAAAAAUCACUUUUACAUUAAAGUUGUUUUUUAAAAAUUUAAGUUCUUUUUUUUUACAUUGAAAAGUUUUAUACAAGAUAAGUUCACUUCUUUACUGCUGAACUUGCAUUUUAUUUUUUAUUUUUUGAAAGACAGUUCUAUUAAUGGGUUGAUUUUUAAAAAAAUUAUAUCACCUAGUGCAAAAAGCCCAAACCUACCACUUUUAAACCAAUAAGAAUAACACUUUUGCAGGCCAUGCAUAGCCAUCAAAUACAUCAUCCUAAUUGUCAGUUAAUAUACAUAUAAUUAUACAAACAAACAUCUAAUAAUCUGGUUCAACAAAUUUAAAAGCACACUGGUCUUAGUUUAAUUUAGAUACAAUAUAAAUAUUGUCCAAGCUUAGCAUGACCAUUAUUGAAAGUAGACAUUGCUAACUAUAAUACAUGAGAUUUUAAUUGCAUGGCCUUAUGUUUCCUUUCAAUGACUCCAGCAUGAAUGUAGAAGCUCCUGGCAAUUCUGCUGCAGCAUAAUCUUCAGGUUAUCGGACAUGUUUGGCAUGCUCAGAUUAUCUGUUUGCAAAGACCAAACAUACAUUAAUGAUAAUAGACAAAAAGAGAGCCAACAAGUUUUAGCAUUUCACUAGUCAUACAUGUUGUCAUUUUGGGCAUGAGGAUUUCUUCAAUAUAUAAGAAAGGUGGCUAAUUCUUCAACUGCUUGCCUAGAGCUUUCUGGUGUUUGACCUGUUGCAACACACGUCUGAGUAUCACAUGGCCAAAUUUUAGGUACCUAAACUAAACAUGAAUAUAUGUACAAAGUUGUAGCAAGGACCUCAACAUUAAUUCAUAUAUAUAUAAUGAAAAAAAAAUUGCCAAACUGGCAAUUUUCAUUUUUCUAUUGUUUUAUGUAUUUAGAGUAAAAUUGUAAGAAGUAAUAUAUGAUUGUUAAGAAACCAAAAACUAUAGGAGUAAUUAAUUUCUCUUCAAUAAAUAGAUGAAGUUAUUUAAUUUGGCAAAAAAAAAAAUUGUUUUGUUGAAUCUAAUAAUAGGUUCUGAAGUGGGGUUCAUUAGCUAAAGAAAAAUUCCAGUGAAAAGAUCUUGGGCUUCUCUCUGCCAUCAAUAAUUGUUAUGCAAAAGAACAAGGAAUAAUACUUGGCCAUGAAUUACUAGGCUGGCUUGGUAGAAAUCACAUCCAAGUAAAGGAACAAAAACAUGCAUUUAUGUAUUCACCGCACCAAUCGCCUAGGGUAAAAGUGAAUUCUAGGCCUUCAGGCUUACCUUUUUUACGGUACAAGUGAAAUCCAAUCUCAUCAUUUAUAUUGAUCCUGAAAUGAAUAGAAAAAUCAAACAAAGCAUGUUAGUGGAAUAAAAAAAAAAACAAUAAAAAGAAAAAGAAAAUCGUCCUUACAAUGUUGAAGAGAUAUAAUUUAUGUUCUUUUAACUUUCCACUGUAUAUUUAAAAUUAAAGUUCAAAUUAGUUCGAAAGUAAUGGAGUUGAGUAACCAUUAAUGUUACUACUAUUUUCCUAAUAUGGAUUGAAUAUAGAAAAAUAUUUGCAUUUGUUUUGUUUUUUCUUUUUCAAAUAUAUAUUGGUUCUAUACAUGCAUCUAAAACCUAUCAAAUGUGCAAAAGUGAUUAAAUUGAAAAACAUGUGAGAGAAAUAACAAUGCAUAGGGCUCAACGUGUCUACAAAGACAGGUGGAGUAUGGUCAUCAGGCCACUAGAUGGAUUCGUUUGAUAAAAGAAAAGGUUGCUUUCCAAAUUUAUGGAAAGAGAAAAUGUAGAAUCCUAACAUGUAUUUCAUUUUCAAGUAUGUUAUAAAUUAAAUUAAACAACAUUAAAAAAAAUGUAGCAAAAGUAAUUAUAUUGGUCUUAUAAGUUAAUUCAAGAAGUAAGUGACAAGUAGUAAAAAUUGGUAGUUCAAGGGAUCUAGAGUAAAUAGAUUAAUGUAGGUACCAUGUAAAAUCCCAAGGAAGUAGUUUGCCAGUGGAGAUAGCUAACCAGAUUUUGUGAGCCAAUUUCAUACUCAAUCAUCAAAAAUGAUAUUUAGAUCCACUAGAUUUAGGAGUCCACUAAAUCGUAAGAUUUUCACUCGUUGAUGAAUUUCUAAUUGCAUAAGCCAUGACAUUGCAUUUUGCCCUAUAUUCAACUUGGUCAAUCUUGUUAACUCUGAAAGUUGAAGUACUUUGAGUUGAGGAAACCCAUUUGCAAACACUUCCAUUUUCUUUCCAAGGUAUGAGUUUAUCCUUAAUCUAAGAAUCAACAAGUUUGGCUGCUUCUCUAAAACAGGCAUAGGAUCACAAUCUAGCCUAGAUGCUUCCAAUGUCAAUUGUGUGAGACUUGGUGAGAAUUCAACAGUUUCAAGCAAUUUUUGCAUGUGUCUCUUUAUGUCCAACUUAGAGAGAUGGAGGCAAGAGUUCAUGGCAAGGGAUGGAACGUAGGACUCAUCUGAUGCCUUGAGGUACAAGGAUUUAAGACUACAUAACUUGGCAAUGGAGUUUGAAAACUUAACCCCUUCUACCUCACACUUUCCUUAUAAUUUCAAUCUCUCAAGACAAGUUAACUUGCUUGAAUUAUUCUGGAUCCAUUGGUUGAAGGUUAUGCCUGAUAGAAUUUGAAGAUUUUGCAACGUAUCAAUUUGCAAUGGAACAUCUUCCUCUUGCCCCUCAAUGUAAAGAUGUCUCAUGUUUUUAAUCUUCCAUAUCACAUUUAGCACUUGUUUAAGAUUGUUUAUAUCCAAAGUCUGCAAACUCCUUAGGUUACCUAUAAAUGGUUGGAAGCCUUUUUAGACCAAUAUGCCUUAAUCCCAGGUACCUUAAAUGAAACAGUUCCCCAAUUAUACUUGGUAGGCAUUCAAUUUCUAAACCUUCCAAAUCUAACACUCUAAGCACUUUGCAGCAUUUGGCAAUGAAAUCUUCCAUAUCUCAUGUUUUUAAUCUUCCAAAUCAGUUCCUCUUUCCAUGUAAAGAUAUCUCAUGUUUUUUAUCUUCCAUAUCACAUUUGGCACUUGUUUAAGAUUGUUUAUAUCCAAAGUCUGCAAACUCCUUAGGUUGCCUAUAAAUGGUGGAAGCAUUUUUAGACCAGUAUGCCUUAAUCCCAGGUACCUUAAAUGAAUUAAUUUCCCAAUUAUAGUUGGCAGGCAUUCAAUUUCUAAACCUUCCAAAUCCAACACUCUAAGCACUUUGAAGCAUUUGGCAAUGAAAUCUAGUUGCGAUGCUUUACAAUUUUUCCCCAAAUUGAAAAAUAAGAGAGAGCAAAGAUAUGGAGUUAAAUUUUCAAUGGAAGCAUACCUCUCAAUGUCAGAAUAAAUACUUCGUCAACGGGAUUUAGAUGAAAAGAGAGAUAAACUUAUGGGAUUUAGAUCCAAAGAAAGAUAAACUGGUGGAGGAGAAUAGAGGAUCUAUGAUGAAGUUUUGCUCUUUUGCCUUUUUAAUGGCCAACUCUCAUACAAGGUCAUGAACCUGACAUUCCGUGACCCUUGCAUUAACACUCUUUCUCACUACUUGAAUCAAAUUUCUAUUGAUUAACUCAUUCAAGUAAACCUCAGCCAUGUCUUUCAUUCUUCGGUCAUCUUGUUAUGGCACAAAACCCUCAACAGUCCAUAAAAAGAGCAGUUUUCUGGAGGAGAUCACAUAAUCUUCAGGGAAGAGGCUUAAAUGAAGAAAGCACGGUUUCAAGUAAUGGGGCAAGUCGAUGUAGCUGAGGUUUAGCAUUGCCAUUACUCCCAUUUGGCCUUCUUUAGCAAGGUAUGCACUAAUGUUAUCGUGCACCUACUUCCAUUCUGUAUGUGACAUAUUUCUUUACAGCAAACCCCCCAAUACAACGAUGGACAAGCAGAGCUCUCUGUUCAGUGAAUGGAGUUCAUGUUCUGGAUAGAAUGGGCAAUUCACUUUUUUGAAGAGAUAAAUUCACUUUUUUACAUUGAAAAGUUUUAUACUAAACUCAUUUUCCAAAGGUUAAGUCCACUUCUUUACCGGUGAACUUGUAUUUUUCAUUUUUAUACUAAUUACUUUUUUUAGAAGACAAAUUCUAUUAAUGGAUUGAUUUUUUUAAAAAUAAUAUCACCCUGCAAAAAGCCCAAACCUACCACUUUCAAACCAAUAACAAUAACACUUUUGCAUGCCAAGCAAAGCCUUCAAAUACAUCAUCCUAAUUGUCACUUAAUACACAUAUAAUUGUACAAACAAACAUCUAAUAAUUUGAUUCAACAAACUUAUAAGCACAUUGGUUUUAGUUUAGAUACAAUAUAAAUAUGUUCAACCUUGGUAUGACCAUCACUGAAAGUAGACAUUGCUAACUAUAAUACAUGAGAUUUUAAUAGCAUGGCAUUAUGUUUCCUUUCAAUCACUCCAUUAUGGAAUCAAGCAUGAGGUAGAAGCCCCUGGCAAAUCUACGGCAGUAUAAUCUUUCGGUCAUCGAAUCUGUUUGCAAAGAUCAAACAUACAUUAUAAACAAUGACAAUAGACAAAAAAAAAAAAAAAAAAUAGCCAAAAAGUUUUAACCUUUCACUUGUCAUACAUGUAAUUUCGGUCAAGAAGACUUCUUAGAAUGUUGAGAAAGUUGGCUAAUAUUUCAACUGCUUUCCUAGAGCUUUCUGCUGUUUGACUUGUUGCAACACAAAUCUGAGUAUCACAUGGCCAACUUUUAGGUACCUAAACUAAACAUGCAUAUAUGUACAAAGUUGUAGCAAGGAUCUCAGCAUUAGUUCAUAUAUAAUGAAAAAAAUUUCACCAGACUGGCAAUUUCAUUUUUCAAUUGGUUUAUGCGUUUAGAGUAAAAUCAUAAGAAGUAAUAUAGAUUUGUUAAGAAACUGAAAACUAUAGAAGUAAUUGAUUUCUCUUCAAUAAAAGCUGAAGUUAUUUAAUUUGACAAAAAAAAAAACUUGUUUUGUUGAAUCUAAUAAUAGGUUCUGAAGUGGGAUUCAUUAGCUAAAUAGAAAUUUCAGUGAAAAGAUCUUGGCUUCUCUCUGGCGUCACUAAUUGUUAUGCAGAAGAAUAAGGAAUAAUACUUGGCCAUGAAUUACUAGGCUGGCUUGGUAGAAAUCACAUUCAAGUAAAGGAACAAAACAUGCAUUUAUACACCCCAACAAUAAUCCAGGGUAAAAGUGAAUUCCAAACUUCCAGGCAUACCUUUUUCGCGGUAAAAUUGACCUCCAAUCUCACCAUUUAUAAAGAUUCUGAAAUGAAUAGAAAAAUCAAACAAAGCAUGUUAGCGGAAUAAAAAGAACAAUAAAAAAAUUUAAAAAAAAAAUCAUCCUUACAAUGUUGAAGAGAGAUAAUUUGAGUUGUUUUAACUUUCCACUGUAUAUUUAAAAUUAAAGUUCUAGUUUGUUCAAAAGCAAUGGAGUUGGGUAACCAUUUAAUGGUACUGCUAUUAUCCUAGUAUGAAUUGAAUAUAUAUAGAAAAAUAUUUGCAUCUGUUUUAUUUUUUUUUCAAAUAUAUAAUUGUUCUGCACAUGCAUUUAAAACCUAUCAAAUGUGCAAAAGUGAUGAAAUUGAAAAACAUGUGAGAAAUAGCGAUGCAUAGGGCUCAAUGUGUCUACAAAGAAAGAUGAAGUAUGGUCAUCAGGCCACUAGAUGGAUUUGUUUUAAUAGAAGAAAAGGUUACUUUCCAAAUUUAUAAAAAGAGAAAAUACAGAAUCCUAACAUGUAUUUCAUUUUCAAGUACGCUAUAAAUUAAAUAAAAUAAUAUUAAAAAUAUAGAAAGAGUAAUUAUAUUGGUCUUAUAAGUUAAUUCAAGAAGUGACGAGUAGUAAAAAUUGAUAGUUCAAGGGAUCUAAGUAGAUAGAUGAAUUUAGGUACCUUCUUUGAUGCCAAGGAUGAGGUGCCAAUCUGGCCAGAAGCCAUACAUCAUAAUAGGAAAUGGUUGACCUAUAAUGUUUAGCUCCACUAGCUUUAGAAGCCCAAUAAAUCCUAAGAUAUUCACUCGUUUAUGAAUUUGCAAUUGCUUAAGCCAUGGCAUUGCGCCUUUCCCUAUAUUCAACUCAGUCAAUCCUUGUAACUCUGAAAGUUGAAGUACUUUGAGUUGAGGAAACCCAUUUGCAGACACUUGCAUUUUCAUUCCAAGGUGUGCGUUUGCCCUUAAUCUAAGAAUCAACAAUUUUGGUUGCUUCUCUAAAACAGGCAUAGGAUCACAACCUAGCCUAGAUGCUUCCAAUGUCAAUUGUGUAAGAUUUGGUGAGAAUUCAACGGUUUCAAGCAAUUUUUGCAUGUGUCCCUUUAUGUCCAACUUAGAAAGAUGGAGGCAAGAGUUUAUGGCAAGGGGUGGAAUGCUCAACUCAUCUGAUGCCUUAAGGUACAAGGAUUUAAGACUAGGUAGCUUGGAAAUGGAGUUUGAAAACACAGCCCCUUCUACCUCACACUUUCCUUCUAAUUUCAAUUUCUCAAGACAAGUUAAGUUGCUUGAAUCGUUCUUGAUCCAUUGGUUGAAGGUUAUGCCUGAUAGAAUUUGAAGAUUUUGCAACGUAUGAAUUUGCAGUGGAACAUCUUCCUCUUGCCCCUCCAUGUAAAGAUAUCUCAUGUUCUUAAUCUUCCGUAUCACAUUUGACACUUGUCUAAGAUUGUUUAUCUCCAAAGUCUGAAAACUCCUUAGGUUGCCUAUAGAUGGUGGAAGCAUUUUUAGACCAGUAUGCCUUAAUCCCAAGUACCUUAAAUGAAUCAGUUCCCCAAUCAUACUAGGUAGGCAUUCAAUUUUUAAACCUUCCAAAUCUAACACUCUAAGCACUUUGAAGCAUUUGGCAAUGAAAUCUAGUUGUGAUGCUCUACAAUUUUUCCCCAAAUUGAAAAAUAA
This 7984-nucleotide long non-coding RNA is filed under the name Vitis vinifera (wine grape). RNAcentral's name for it is "long non-coding RNA (VVIN_LNC000607)". Lineage: Eukaryota; Viridiplantae; Streptophyta; Magnoliopsida; Vitales; Vitaceae. The record is from RNAcentral.